Molecule: ribosomal RNA, 253 nt
Filed under: uncultured bacterium
Lineage: Bacteria
Description: partial 16S ribosomal RNA
Rfam family: Bacterial small subunit ribosomal RNA
Source: RNAcentral
GACGUAGGGGACGAGCGUUGUCCGGAUUCAUUGGGCGUAAAGCGCGCGUAGGCGGUUUGGUAAGUCGGAUGUGAAAACCAGAGGCUCAACCUCUGGCCUGCAUUCGAUACUGCCGUGCUUGAGGACUGGAGAGGAGACUGGAAUUUACGGUGUAGCAGUGAAAUGCGUAGAGAUCGUAAGGAAGACCAGUGGCGAAGGCGGGUCUCUGGACAGUUCCUGACACUGAGGCACGAAGGCCAGGGGAGCAAACGGG